UACGUAGGGAGCGAGCGUUGUCCGGAAUCAUUGGGCGUAAAGAGCAUGUAGGUGGAUCAAUUAGUCUGCUGUGAAAGUCAACGGCUCAACCUUUGAAAGCCGGUGGAUACUGUUGAUCUAGAGUACGGAAGAGGCGAGUGGAAUUCCUGGUGUAGCGGUGGAAUGCGCAGAUAUCAGGAGGAACACCAAUAGCGAAGGCAGCUCGCUGGGACGUUACUGACACUGAGAUGCGAAAGCGUGGGGAGCAAACAGG
This 253-nucleotide ribosomal RNA is filed under the name uncultured bacterium. RNAcentral describes it as "partial 16S ribosomal RNA". It matches the Rfam family "Bacterial small subunit ribosomal RNA", at positions 524 to 776 of the family's 1533-position model. The record is from RNAcentral.